This is a long non-coding RNA of Triticum dicoccoides, 761 nucleotides long. RefSeq lists it as uncharacterized. The transcript has 2 exons. The record is from RefSeq and is a predicted model, not a curated record. Lineage: Eukaryota; Viridiplantae; Streptophyta; Magnoliopsida; Poales; Poaceae.
UUUUAUCCUGGGCGCGUCUUUUAUUCAAUCUUACCAUAUACAACAUCAAUCAACGACGAAACACAUAUCACAGUUCAAAACUUUCUCCUAAGCCGGGCGGCGAGCCCUGGUUCUCCGAGAUUUCAAGUCUCGCCAGCGAUCUUUCUCCUGGGCGGUGCUGCGAGCACUGAUUCUCCGCAACUCCAGUCUCGCCGGCGGUCCACCGGAGAAGGAGGCACAGUGAACAUUUCUGCUCUGGACGGGUUUCCCAACCAUACACACCAGGGUAUCAAGACCGUGGCCUACCUGCUCGAGGCAUGCAUGCAAUCCUGCUGUUGUUUGUGUGCACUUCUUUCUUAAUUUGCUUAGAAGCUUGGACGGAUACACUGACAACUUUAUGUGCUUAGGAGUUUGCAGGAAAAGUAGAUUUAAUUUCAUUACACUCUACGCCAAGAGACACUCUAAUUCUGCUGCCAUACACAUUACUGCGUGCAUUUCUUCUCCCAAGAAUUAUCACUUUUUUUCUCUUUAGCUGGUUGUUUGUUACCAUGACGUCGAGUCGGCGGCAAAGUAAGACUCAGCACGAAGGCCAGUCUCAAGUGACCACCUUAUUAAACUCUCUUUGACUUCUCAUAUAUACAAUCUCUGGUUAUUUCAGAAGGUGAGCAAAUAAUUAUUUGUAUAUAGUUCGGUACCAAUGCAUUACUAACUAGAAUAUGUUAAUAUACUCAUUCAGAUGUUACUUAAGUUGUCACUCUGGUACAUAUAUUAAUAUGUUUGUA